Molecule: non-coding RNA, 1205 nt
Organism: Equus caballus (horse)
Lineage: Eukaryota; Metazoa; Chordata; Mammalia; Perissodactyla; Equidae
Source: RefSeq, a predicted model, not a curated record
UUUCCGACUGCGGCUUCGCUGUAGGAAGGAGCUUCUGCUCCCUUGCUGCUGGGGGACUUGCACGUGGCUUGCCAAGGAAGAUUGGCCCUGAGCUUACAUCUGUUCCCAUCUUCCUCUACUUUAUAUGUGGGACGCCUGCCACAGCAUGGUUUGAUAAGCAGUGCGUAGUUCCACAACCAAGAUCCAGGAUGGUGAACCUUGGGCCGGCAAUGCAAAGCACACAAACUUAACAGCUACGCGCCACCAGGCCAGCCCCUUGUUACUGAACCAGGUCCUUUCUAGAAGCGCCAGAUCAGAGGUUGAGUUUCCUGGAAGAAAUAUCAUAAAGUCUGAAAGGACACACCAGGGAAUCUUGAUUAUGGACCCUAUAGGGAAUGAAAUGAUAAGUUGAACCGUGGCAGGACAAACAUCAGCGCAGACAUGGUUGUCAGGCUGCAUCGAACAGCUGAGUCAGGACUGCCAGCACAUUCCUCCUCCAGAGCAGAGGUCGGCGUGGAAGUGACUGCUGAACCCAAGCUCUUUGGAUCAAGUUCAGUACCUAUAAAUAGGCCUACUGAUUUACAUUUUCUUUUGUUAACUACUUUAAAUUACAAAACAUUUUCUUUUUUAAAUGACCAUCCCAAUUCUCCUAAUUCUGGGAUAGACUUUGUAUAGAUAACACAUCUGUUGGACUCAGUAAGGCUGGAGGAGCCUUAGGAUAUGUAACUAACUGAGUUUGUGCCCCUUCCCUGGAUACCAGGAGGUCCCUUCUAUUAAAGUUUUCUGCUAAAAAUCCCACCAGCUCCAGUUAUGAUAAGAUUCAUCCGUGGAAAUUAAAUUUUGCUUCUGACGAGCUCACAAUUAACAACCUCAUCAGUAAAAAUUACGCCAUCCAGGAUGAUAGGUUUUCUGUGAAGCCAGUUAAAAUAUCGCUGAUCGUGCCACGACACAGGAAAUGACUACUAACACCCUUUCUCUCAACUGAUCCAUCAAGGAAAAUCUCUCUGCUCUCCUGUGUUGUAAUCUAAGGCGUAUUUGGUCAUAACGCCUCUCAGACACUUGAGAAGGAUACUUAGACAAUUUACCCAAAUUACAGGGUACACCUGUCAUGGCUUCCUGUAUUUGUGCGACAGCGUUAUCACUACAAAAGUUGGGACUCAGAGAGAGGAAGGGGUGUGUCACCUGGGAAAGGUUCCUCCACCAUUAAGGAGCAUUCCUACCUCUCC